UUAACUUAUUCAAAGAUUUGCGGCACGGGGCCAGAUCAGACAGCUGAUUUAAUGAUUCAAUUUAGAUUAGCCCUUUCCCAGGGACCUGCAUAGUGAGGUUGACUCUGCUAGCUGGAAGGAUUAAAUGGUUACAGGAACCAAUUCCCUGGGAAAGCAACAUGGAUGAGUACGCAGAGAGGGUUUAGAUCAGGGAACACUUUGGUAUCCCAGAUAUAUUUAAUGAUCCUUCCGCAGGUUCACCUACGGAAA
RNAcentral lists this unclassified non-coding RNA (249 nucleotides) under uncultured fungus. RNAcentral describes it as "sequence contains ITS1". The record is from RNAcentral. Lineage: Eukaryota; Fungi.